This 599-nucleotide long non-coding RNA is filed under the name Marmota monax (woodchuck). Lineage: Eukaryota; Metazoa; Chordata; Mammalia; Rodentia; Sciuridae. The record is from RNAcentral.
GCUUGAGCCACAUCCCCAGCCCUCAAAAUAAUUUUUAAAAGGCUUGUGUUGUAGUUCAGUGAUAUAGAAUUUGGGGGGUUAAUCUCAAGCACUACACAUGAAGAAUUAAAAGUUGGAUGACCUAAAGAUCCAGAAAUGCCAGUGCUAAAUAUGUAUCCAUGAAAAUUUAAAUCAGAAAAUUGAAGAGAUACCUCUGCUUUUGUGUUUAGUGCACAUAUUGUUUUCAUUUAAAGCUAGGGACUCAAUGUAUGUGCCCAUCAAUGAUUAAAUGAGUAAAAAUAUUGUACUUAUAUACUAUUAUUAUUCAGUUGUAAAAAUAUUUUAUCUUUUAAAGUGUUAUAAGAAAUAUAUGCAGGACUUUGCAUUAAGUGAAAUGUGGCAUGCAGAGAUUAAGUUGCAGGAGCAUUUGAUUCACAUGUGGAAGUGUGGAAAUCAGAAAUUUAGUGAGUAAAAUUUUGCUCACCAGGUACUGUGUUUUGUGUAGGGUUGAUAUUAUAGUCAAAGUCUCAUAUUUUUUUAAAUUUUAUUGCACAUAAGAGGCUCAAGAGUUUUGUUUUACCACAUGGUGAGAGUAUUAUGUUCUUUAUAAAUACUAUUAG